AUUGAACGCUGGCGGCAUGCCUUACACAUGCAAGUCGAACGGCAGCACGGGGGCAACCCUGGUGGCGAGUGGCGAACGGGUGAGUAAUGCAUCGGAACGUGCCCAGUAGUGGGGGAUAACUAGUCGAAAGAUUAGCUAAUACCGCAUACGACCUAUGGGUGAAAGCGGGGGAUCGCAAGACCUCGCGCUAUUGGAGCGGCCGAUGUCUGAUUAGCUAGUUGGCGGGGUAAAGCCCACCAAGGCUUCGAUCAGUAGCUGGUCUGAGAGGACGACCAGCCACACUGGGACUGAGACACGGCCCAGACUCCUACGGGAGGCAGCAGUGGGGAAUAUUGCGCAAUGGGCGAAAGCCUGACGCAGCGACGCCGCGUGGGUGAUG
This 379-nucleotide ribosomal RNA is filed under the name uncultured bacterium. RNAcentral's name for it is "bacterial SSU rRNA". It matches the Rfam family "Bacterial small subunit ribosomal RNA", at positions 29 to 410 of the family's 1533-position model. The record is from RNAcentral.